Molecule: ribosomal RNA, 694 nt
Filed under: Ornithocercus thumii
Lineage: Eukaryota; Dinophyceae; Dinophysales; Dinophysaceae
Description: LSU rRNA
Rfam family: Eukaryotic large subunit ribosomal RNA
Source: RNAcentral
GUAAGCGGAGGACAAGAGAACUAAACAGGAUCCCCAUAGUAAUGGCGAAUGAACAGGGAUGAGCUCAGCAUGGAAAUUGGGGCCUGUGGCUUUGACUUGUAAUCUUGUGAGGCAUUGCCAACAGAGGCGCAGAUGUAAGUCUCUUGGAAAAGAGCAUCAAUGAGGGUGAGAGUCCUGCUUGUCAUUUGCAGCCCCCCUGUGCACGGUGUGCCUUCUAAGAGUCACGUUCCUCGGGAUUGGAGCGCAAAGUGGGUGGUAACUUUCAUCUGAAGCUAAACAAUGGUUUGGGACCGAUAGGAAACAAGUACCAUGAGGGAAAGGUGAAAAGGACUUUGGAAAGAGAGUUAAAAGUGCCUGAAAUUGCUGAAGGGGAAGCGAAUGGAACCAGUGGUGCUGGGUGAGAUUGUCACAUGCUCCAGGGAUUGGUUGCUGCAUCAGCGCAAGCGAUCUGGCAAUUGUUGAACUGCACGUGUGUGGUGUGUCUUGCCUUGUGUGUCAUUGUGGGUUUAUGCAUUAAGACAAUUCAAAGUGCAUGGCAAUAUGUUUCUGAAUCUAUGAAUGUGAUUUGUUAUGUUUAUGCAUAAGCUUCUUGCUGUCUGUCUGGCUGCAGAGCUCGCCGUCCCCAUUUUUUUGGAGAGAUGAGUUGAGCAUUUCCUUCUGCACAGAUCUUGGCUAAAUGUUCUAUUCGACCGUC